Molecule: ribosomal RNA, 1107 nt
Filed under: Streptomyces sp.
Lineage: Bacteria; Bacillati; Actinomycetota; Actinomycetes; Kitasatosporales; Streptomycetaceae
Description: bacterial SSU rRNA
Rfam family: Bacterial small subunit ribosomal RNA
Source: RNAcentral
GCCAGCUAGUGCAGAAGCCCGCUAGCAUGCGCUCGUACUUCAGCAGAGAGGCCAGUACCGUACUGCAGAGAGCCGCUACUACCGGCAGCAGCGCGUAUACGUAGCGCAAGCGUGUCGAUAUGCGUAAGAGCUCGUAGCGCUGUCACGUCGUGUGAAAGCCCGGGCUACCCGGUCUGCAGUCGAUACGGCAGCUAGAGUUCGUAGGGAGAUCGAAUCCUGUGUAGCGUGAAAUGCGCAGAUAUCAGAGACCACCGUGCCGAAGCCGGAUCUCUGGCCAGAUACUGACGCUGAGAGCGAAGCGUGGGAGCGAACAGAUUAGAUACCCUGGUAGUCCACGCCGUAAACGUGUGGGACACUAGGUGUGGCCACCAUUCCACGUCUGUCGCGUGCCGCCAGCUAAACGCAUUAAGUGCCCCGCCCUGGGGGAGUACGCCGCCAAAGCUAAAACUCAAAAGGAUUGGACGGGGGGCCCGCACAAGCAGGCGGGAGCAUGUGGGUUUAAUCGACGCAAACGCGGAAGAAACCUUACCAAAGGCUUGACAUACAUCCGGAAACGUCAGGAGACAGGCCCCCCCUGUUGGUCGGGUGUACAGGGUGGUGCAUGGGCUGUCGUCAGCUUCGUGUUCGUGAGAUGUUUGGUUUAAGUCCCGCAACGAGCGCAACACCUUGUUCCCGGUUUCCCAGCCAGCCCUUUGGGGUGAUGGGGACUCACGGGAGACCGCCGGGGUCAACUCGGAGGAAGGUGGGGACGACGUCAAGUCAUCAUGCCCCUUAUGUCUUGGGCUGCACACGUGCUACAAUGGCCGGUACAAUGAGCUGCGAUGUCGCGAGGUGGAGCGAAUCUCAAAAAGCCGGUCUCAGUUCGGAUUGGGGUCUGCAACUCGACCCCAUGAAGUCGGAGUCGCUAGUAAUCGCAGAUCAGCAUUGCUGCGGUGAAUACGUUCCCGGGCCUUGUACACACCGCCCGUCACGUCACGAAAGUCGGUAACACCCGAAGCCGGUGGCCCAACCCCUUGUGGGAGGGAGCUGUCGAAGGUGGGACUGGCGAUUGGGACGAAGUCGUAACAAGGUAGCCGUACCGGAAGGUGCGGUUGGAUCACCUCCUUA